CUACGGAGGAUCCGAGCGUUAUCCGGAUUUAUUGGGUUUAAAGGGUGCGCAGGCGGGAGAUUAAGUCGGCGGUGAAAUUUUGCAGCUCAACUGUAAAAGUGCCUUCGAAACUGGUUUCCUUGAGUGUAGAUGAAGGAGGCGGAAUUUGUGGUGUAGCGGUGAAAUGCAUAGAUAUCACGAGGAACUCCGAUUGCGCAGGCAGCUUACUAAACUACUACUGACGCUCAGGCACGAAGGCGUGGGGAUCAAACAGGAUUAGAUACCCUGGUAGUCCACGCAGUAAACGAUGAUUACUAGCUGUUUGCGAUACAAUGUAAGCGGCUGAGCGAAAGCGUUAAGUAAUCCACCUGGGGAGUACGUUCGCAAGAAUGAAACUCAAAUGAAUUGACGGGG
Molecule: ribosomal RNA, 393 nt
Filed under: uncultured bacterium
Lineage: Bacteria
Description: partial 16S ribosomal RNA
Rfam family: Bacterial small subunit ribosomal RNA
Source: RNAcentral